GGCCUAGUGGUGUAGUGGUUACAUGCCCUCUCUUGAUAGUAGUACAUAGGCUAGGUUCUGAGGGAGCCCCUUGUUUGAAUCAAGGCUAGGCCA
Non-coding RNA from Mycena polygramma, 93 nucleotides. The record is from the annotation of a GenBank genome assembly. Lineage: Eukaryota; Fungi; Basidiomycota; Agaricomycetes; Agaricales; Mycenaceae.